RNAcentral lists this long non-coding RNA (574 nucleotides) under Chinchilla lanigera (long-tailed chinchilla). RNAcentral's name for it is "lncRNA (ENSCLAG00000022532.1)". The record is from RNAcentral. Lineage: Eukaryota; Metazoa; Chordata; Mammalia; Rodentia; Chinchillidae.
UGGCUCCUGCUCUGUUGCCCGCCUGCUGUGUGCCUGACGAGAUAAACAAAUCUCUUCCAGCAGGGGUGCGGCUCCAGUGACAGCCUGUAAUCCAGGAACGGCUGAACCAGUCCAUCUUCCACCUCGUAUGAGGAAUACUUGCAUUUAAGGGCUUUAUUCCUGGCGUUUCAGAGCUGCCACGGUUUUCUUAAUGGACUCGGUGGACUCUUCCUGAAAGUCCAUCACAAAUGUGCUAAGGAGGUUCCAAGAUCACUGUUCUAUAGAAAAAUCAAUCCUCUGAUGUCAGAAAACAUGGCCCACAGUGGAGAGGAAGUUGGCUGCAGAGCGUCAGGCCGAGUUUCUUACCUUUACCUCAGAGUGACGCAGAUAAGGAGAUCUGAGCUGUGAGAUUUCAGAUUUACACAGAUUUUGAAAUUCCAUUGACAGGGGGUGUGAGAUUGGUAAGAAUUCCUUCUCUGUGUCUGAUGAAGUUAUGGAAAAGCCCUUCCCUGGAGGUUCUGUCUGGAGAAGGCUCUGGGGGGACUUCUCAGGCAUCAGCCCUGCCUUGCCCCUGUAAAGACCGGAGGGGUCCGCU